AUUGAACGCUGGCGGCAGGCUUAACACAUGCAAGUCGAGCGGGGGAAGGUAGCUUGCUACCGGACCUAGCGGCGGACGGGUGAGUAAUGCUUAGAAAUCUGCCUAUUAGUGGGGGACAACAUCUCGAAAGGGAUGCUAAUACCGCAUACGUCCUACGUGAGAAAGCCGGGGAUCUUCGGACCUUGCGCUAAUAGAUGAGCCUAAGUCGGAUUAGCUAGUUGGUGGGGUAAAGGCCUACCAAGGCGACGAUCUGUAGCGGGUCUGAGAGGAUGAUCCGCCACACUGGGACUGAGACACGGCCCAGACUCCUACGGGAGGCAGCAGUGGGGAAUAUUGGACAAUGGGGGGAACCCUGAUCCAGCCAUGCCGCGUGUGUGAAGAAGGCCUUAUGGUUGUAAAGCACUUUAAGCGAGGAGGAGGCUACUCUAGUUAAUACCUAGGGAUAGUGGACGUUACUCGCAGAAUAAGCACCGGCUAACUCUGUGCCAGCAGCCGCAGUAA
This 501-nucleotide ribosomal RNA is filed under the name uncultured bacterium. RNAcentral's name for it is "partial 16S ribosomal RNA". It matches the Rfam family "Bacterial small subunit ribosomal RNA", at positions 30 to 523 of the family's 1533-position model. The record is from RNAcentral.